AUUGAACGCUGGCGGCAUGCCUUACACAUGCAAGUCGAACGGCAGCACGGGUGCUUGCACCUGGUGGCGAGUGGCGAACGGGUGAGUAAUACAUCGGAACAUGUCCUGUAGUGGGGGAUAGCCCGGCGAAAGCCGGAUUAAUACCGCAUACGAUCUACGGAUGACAGCGGGGGACCUUCAGGCCUCGCGCUAUAGGGUUGGCCGAUGGCUGAUUAGCUAGUUGGUGGGGUAAAGGCCUACCAAGGCGACGAUCAGUAGCUGGUCUGAGAGGACGACCAGCCACACUGGGACUGAGACACGGCCCAGACUCCUACGGGAGGCAGCAGUGGGGAAUUUUGGACAAUGGGCGAAAGCCUGAUCCAGCAAUGCCGCGUGUGUGAAGAAGGCCUUCGGGUUGUAAAGCACUUUUGUCCGGAAAGAAAUCCUUGGCCCUAAUACGGUCGGGGGAUGACGGUACCGGAAGAAUAAGCACCGGCUAACUACGUG
This 486-nucleotide ribosomal RNA is filed under the name uncultured bacterium. RNAcentral's name for it is "partial 16S ribosomal RNA". It matches the Rfam family "Bacterial small subunit ribosomal RNA", at positions 30 to 507 of the family's 1533-position model. The record is from RNAcentral.